This is a non-coding RNA of Triticum aestivum (bread wheat), 115 nucleotides long. The record is from Rfam. Lineage: Eukaryota; Viridiplantae; Streptophyta; Magnoliopsida; Poales; Poaceae.
AACCUACUCCCUUCGUUCGGAAUUACUUGUCUCGGAAAUGGAUGUAUCUAGAACUAAGAUACAUCUAGAUACAUUCAUUACUGCAACAAGUAAUUCCGAACGGAGGGAGUAGAAA